UGUGGCUCAAUGGGAGAGCACUUGCCUAGCAUGUGUGAGGCCCUGAGUUCAAUCCUCAGCA
RNAcentral lists this transfer RNA (61 nucleotides) under Ictidomys tridecemlineatus (thirteen-lined ground squirrel). RNAcentral describes it as "Spermophilus tridecemlineatus (thirteen-lined ground squirrel) tRNA". It matches the Rfam family "tRNA", at positions 6 to 65 of the family's 71-position model. From Rfam's summary of the family: Transfer RNA (tRNA) molecules are approximately 80 nucleotides in length. Their secondary structure includes four short double-helical elements and three loops (D, anti-codon, and T loops). Lineage: Eukaryota; Metazoa; Chordata; Mammalia; Rodentia; Sciuridae. The record is from Rfam by way of RNAcentral.